This 1082-nucleotide long non-coding RNA is filed under the name Salmo salar (Atlantic salmon). RNAcentral describes it as "lncRNA (ENSSSAG00000118125.1)". The record is from RNAcentral. Lineage: Eukaryota; Metazoa; Chordata; Actinopteri; Salmoniformes; Salmonidae.
CCUUCAAUGAGUGUGUCUGUCUGUUGUGCGGGUUGCAGGUCUGUCUGAGCUGCAGCAGUUCUCCUUGCUGAUAGGCCAGCUCCUCUUCCUGCACGGCCAGGUCUUCCUGUAGUAGUUCUGCUUGGUGGGCUGCCUCCAGGCUCUCUCUCUGUUCCCCUGAUAGCUCUGCCUUCAAACGUCUAAUCUCCUCCCUCUGCUGUGACAUCAUCUCCGACAGCAUCCUCUGGUGUUCUCUCUCGUUCACCUGGAGACAGAAAACAAGAGCGAUAGAGAGAGGGGGGAUGACUAGCAGCACACAGGUAUGCGUAUCAGGUUGUUGUUGUGGUGUGUGUGUGUGUACCUGUUUGAUAAGGCUGAUCUGUCUCUUCUGCUCCUCCUCCAGAGUGGCUCUCUGCUCACACAGCUCUCUCUCCAGACGGCCGCUCAGCUCAGACACCUCCUCCUGGUGUUUCUCCUGCAGCUCCUGCACGUCCUCACUGUGAGAUCUCCUCAGUCUCUCUGUGGCCUCCUCCACAGACCGCAUCUGCUGCUCCAGGAGAGCUUUCACCUCCUGCUCCCUCUCCCUCCGCUGCUCCUCCAGCAGGCGUCUCACCCCCUGCACCUCCUCAUCCUUCUCCUGCCUCUCCUCCUCCCACUUCUCCCUCUCCUCCUCCACCUGAAAAAGAGAUGUCAUAUCAUGUCUGUUCAGUACUUCCUGAACAGGUCCAAAUACAUAGUCUAAUCAUCACCAUCCUCCUCACCUCUUCCUCCUUGGCUUGGAGCUGUCUCUGGAACUCCUCCAGCUCCUCCGCCAUCACCUUCUCCAUCCUCCGCAUGGUUCUAGAUCUCUCCUCUUUUAGCUGUUCCAUCACUUGCUCCUGGCUGGGGAGGAGGGUACCUCCCUCCUCCUCUAGGAGAGGAGAGGAGUUGAGUCUCUCCAUAUCUUUCUCUCUCUCCUCCAGUAAGGUGCAGAGUCUGUUCUUCAGAUUGUCCUCCUCGUGUGUUUUCAGGCUGACCUCCUCCUCAGCUCUCCUCCUCUUCUCCCGCUCCUCCUCAAGCUCCCAGUGCACCUCCUGCAGCUCCUCGGAGACCUGGGCCCACCU